GACGAACGCUGGCGGCGUGCUUAACACAUGCAAGUCGAACGGAAAGGCCCCCACCUUGGUGGGGGUGCUCGAGUGGCGAACGGGUGAGUAACACGUGGGUGAUCUGCCCUGUACUUCGGGAUAAGCUUGGGAAACUGGGUCUAAUACCGGAUAGGACCAUGGUUUAGUGUCUCAUGGUGGAAAGAUUAUUGUUUUGGUGCAGGAUGAGCUCGCGGCCUAUCAGCUUGUUGGUGGGGUAAUGGCCUACCAAGGCGUCGACGGGUAGCCGGCCUGAGAGGGUGGACGGCCACAUUGGGACUGAGAUACGGCCCAGACUCCUACGGGAGGCAGCAGUGGGGAAUAUUGCACAAUGGGCGCAAGCCUGAUGCAGCGACGCCGCGUGGGGGAUGACGGCCUUCGGGUUGUAAACUCCUUUCGUUAGGGACGAAGCCACAUUUUUUGGGUGUGGUGACGGUACCUUUGUUAAGAAGCACCGGCUAACUACGUGCCAGCAGCCGCGGUAAUACGUAGGGUGCGAGCGUUGUCCGGAAUUACUGGGCGUAAAGAGCUCGUAGGUGGUUUGUUGCGUCGUCUGUGAAAUUCCGGGGCUUAACUUCGGGGUGGCAGGCGAUACGGGCAUAACUAGAGUGCUGUAGGGGAGACUGGAAUUCCUGGUGUAGCGGUGGAAUGCGCAGAUAUCAGGAGGAACACCGAUGGCGAAGGCAGGUCUCUGGGCAGUAACUGACGCUGAGGAGCGAAAGCAUGGGGAGCGAACAGGAUUAGAUACCCUGGUAGUCCAUGCUGUAAACGGUGGGCGUUAGGUGUGGGGACCGGUUUGGUUUCUGUGCCGUAGCUAACGCAUUAAGCGCCCCGCCUGGGGAGUACGGCCGCAAGGCUAAAACUCAAAGGAAUUGACGGGGGCCCGCACAGGCGGCGGAGCAUGUGGAUUAAUUCGAUGCAACGCGAAGAACCUUACCUGGGUUUGACAUGCACCAGACGGUUGUAGAGAUACGUACCUCCCUUUGUGGUUGGUGUGCAGGUGGUGCAUGGUUGUCGUCAGCUCGUGUCGUGAGAUGUUGGGUUAAGUCCCGCAACGAGCGCAACCCUUGUCUUAUGUUGCCAGCACUUUGGGUGGGGACUCAUGAGAGACUGCCGGGGUUAACUCGGAGGAAGGUGGGGAUGACGUCAAAUCAUCAUGCCCUUUAUGCCCAGGGCUUCACACAUGCUACAAUGGUUAGUACAACGCGCUGCGAACCUGUGAGGGUGAGCGAAUCGCUGAAAGCUAAUCUCAGUUCGGAUUGGGGUCUGCAACUCGACCCCAUGAAGGCGGAGUCGCUAGUAAUCGCAGAUCAGCAAUGCUGCGGUGAAUACGUUCCCGGGCCU
Molecule: ribosomal RNA, 1362 nt
Filed under: uncultured bacterium
Lineage: Bacteria
Description: bacterial SSU rRNA
Rfam family: Bacterial small subunit ribosomal RNA
Source: RNAcentral